RNAcentral lists this ribosomal RNA (493 nucleotides) under uncultured bacterium. Its description in RNAcentral is "bacterial SSU rRNA". It matches the Rfam family "Bacterial small subunit ribosomal RNA", at positions 33 to 507 of the family's 1533-position model. The record is from RNAcentral.
ACGACGCUGGCGGCGUGCCUAAUACAUGCAAGUCGAGCGGACCAAAGGGAGCUUGCUCCUGGAGGUCAGCGGCGAACGGGUGAGUAACACGUGGGCAACCUGCCUGUAAGACUGGGAUAACAUCGAGAAAUCGGUGCUAAUACCGGAUAAUAAAAAGAACUGCAUGGUUCUUUUUGAAAGAUGGUUUCGGCUAUCACUUACAGAUGGGCCCGCGGCGCAUUAGCUAGUUGGUGAGGUAACGGCUCACCAAGGCAACGAUGCGUAGCCGACCUGAGAGGGUGAUCGGCCACACUGGGACUGAGACACGGCCCAGACUCCUACGGGAGGCAGCAGUAGGGAAUCUUCCGCAAUGGACGAAAGUCUGACGGAGCAACGCCGCGUGAGUGAUGAAGGUUUUCGGAUCGUAAAACUCUGUUGUUAGGGAAGAACAAGUGCCGUUCGAAAGGGCGGCACCUUGACGGUACCUAACGAGAAAGCCACGGCUAACUACGUG